RNAcentral lists this long non-coding RNA (200 nucleotides) under Gossypium raimondii (Peruvian cotton). RNAcentral describes it as "long non-coding RNA (GRAI_LNC001266)". Lineage: Eukaryota; Viridiplantae; Streptophyta; Magnoliopsida; Malvales; Malvaceae. The record is from RNAcentral.
CAUUUUAACAAGGAUUUGCACUUUCAAAAGUAUAAUUGCAGAAGAAUCGAAGUGAAGAGAAACUAAAACUUAAAACUUUGGGGCUUCAUAAUAACAAAAAGAUAACAUUUUUCAACAGUUCAUAACAUAAAAAUAAUACCUUCGAACAGUACAUAACAUUUAAAAAGAAAACAAAAACAAAUCUUUGGACAGCAUAAAAC